Molecule: long non-coding RNA, 1727 nt
Filed under: Helianthus annuus (common sunflower)
Lineage: Eukaryota; Viridiplantae; Streptophyta; Magnoliopsida; Asterales; Asteraceae
Description: hypothetical non coding rna
Source: RNAcentral
UCUGUUUAUUCGCGUCUAGAGUUUCCUAGGGUCUCGGUGUUCUUAGUUAUUUCUGCUUCAUAAUUUGAGGGGUUUAGUAAUAAAUUACUUAAUACCUGAUAGUUGUGGGAUUUGGUGGUCGAUAACUCGAGUCAGUCCAUUUUAGCACUUCAUCACUUGUCAUAUUGUAAGGUUCGUUUUACCUUCCGGGGGUUUAUCGGGUUAGGCAGAGUCUUCAUUCAGAACCAAGGUUAGGAUUUUAUUCAUGAGUCUAGGGAUUCUUGCCUAGGUAACCUAUUUUUCCCAUACUUGAGUUUCAGUCCAGUCUCUAGAUGUCUGUGUUUGCUGUUGUUUGGUCGUCUAUAUUGUUAAAUUGCUUUUUAGUUUAAAAAUAUUUUUCUCAAAUCCAAAACAAUUAAACCAGUUAAGUAUUAGUUGAGUCAGAGUCUAGUUUAGCGUCGCUAGUGUCUCGUGGGUUCGAUACUCGGACUUUAUUAGGCUUUACUAUGUACGAUAGGUACACUUGCCUGUCAGUGGUCUAGCAUUUAGAGUCUUAGUUUAUAAAUUUAAAACCAGGGUGUCUAGAUUCGGUUAGUAGUUUUUAUUAGACCAUAAUUUGCACAUCAUUAAGUUAUUAACUCUGUAAAGCAUGUAACACUAUUGAGCCAGUUAACUCCGUUAAGUAUGUUAAGUCUGUUAAGCCUGUUAAGUGAUAACUAUGUUAGAAUAGACUGAAAAAUCAAAAUGUGAAGCAUGAAUUAUGCGAACUUGAUUAACUGUUUACGUGUUACAUGAUGUUUACUGCCAAGCACACUUUGUGGCAUAGAUUGUAAGUGAAACCUUACAAACAUGAAUUGAUUGUGUAUACGUGCAUGUUAUUGGAUUUGACUGAUUAUUUGUGAGCACGUAAUUUAGCGUACCGAGCAAACCAAGGUGAGUUCACACUUUCUACAAGGCAUGGGAUUCCCGGUGGUUUGGGAAUGGGUUAAAUAAUUAAAACGGAACCUACAUAUCCUCCUUGGGUAGGAUAUACAAACAUGAACUGAUUGUGUAUACGUGCAUGUUAUAGGAUUUGACUGAUUAUUUGUGAGCACGUAAUUUAGCGUACCGAGCAAACCAAGGUGAGUUCACACUUUCUACAAGGCAUGGGAUUCCUGGUGGUUUUGGAAUGGGUUAAAGAAUUAAAACGGAACCUACAUAACCUCCUUGGGUAGGAUAUGUACCGCCAUCCUCCUUGGGUAGGAUGCCAAUAUUAAUCAUGCGUAUUCUCCUUGGGUAGAAUACGUACGUUCGUCCUCCUUGGGUAGGACAACAACCUUACAACUUGCUAGACAAAACUCUAUCAUGAAGUCCCUCAUUUUAUAUCGACUUAAUCGCCGAGGCUGAUGGCGAGCGGGUCAUUAGUUAAUAGCGCUAUAAGGUUUGACAAACCUCACAUCGUGUCGUUCGAAUGGGCGUGUACUAAUGGAUCAUGGCAAACUGUCAAUGAUGAUAGACAUUGACGUAGGGCACUACUAUUGUUCGUCAGUCGUCGAUAUGGUAACGGUCUAGUGGUUAACAUGGGGAAGCCCCCACUGAUUAUGGAUAUGUUUGGGAAACAGGGUACUUUCGGAGCUUGCACGAGGAGGCGUGGACGUUGUGGGACAUGGAUAAUCUUAUGGCAUGAUUAAACAUUUGAUAUUUGAACUUAUACUUUGGAUUUAAACAUUAUGCUUCCGCUUACAACUUAAACUACAUUUUGUUUGGAC